RNAcentral lists this ribosomal RNA (397 nucleotides) under uncultured bacterium. Its description in RNAcentral is "bacterial SSU rRNA". It matches the Rfam family "Bacterial small subunit ribosomal RNA", at positions 30 to 420 of the family's 1533-position model. The record is from RNAcentral.
AGUGAACGCUGGCGGCAGGCCUAACACAUGCAAGUCGAACGGCAGCACGGCAGUAGCAAUACUGUGGGUGGCGAGUGGCGGACGGGUGAGGAAUACAUCGGGAUCUACCCUGUUGUGGGGGGAUAACGUAGGGAAACUUACGCUAAUACCGCAUAAGAACUGAGGUUGAAAGCGGCGGACCGCAAGGCGUCGCGCGAUUGGAUGAACCGAUGUCCGAUUAGCUAGUUGGCGGGGUAAAGGCCCUCCAAGGCGACGAUCGGUAGCUGGUCUGAGAGGACGACCAGCCACACUGGAACUGAGACACGGUCCAGACUCCUACGGGAGGCAGCAGUGGGGAAUAUUGGACAAUGGGCGCAAGCCUGAUCCAGCCAUGCCGCGUGGGUGAAGAAGGCCUCGG